GAUGAACGCUGGCGGCGUGCCUAAUACAUGCAAGUCGAGCGAACGGACGAGAAGCUUGCUUCUCUGAUGUUAGCGGCGGACGGGUGAGUAACACGUGGAUAACCUACCUAUAAGACUGGGAUAACUUCGGGAAACCGGAGCUAAUACCGGAUAAUAUUUUGAACCGCAUGGUUCAAAAGUGAAAGACGGUCUUGCUGUCACUUAUAGAUGGAUCCGCGCUGCAUUAGCUAGUUGGUAAGGUAACGGCUUACCAAGGCAACGAUGCAUAGCCGACCUGAGGGGGUGAUCGGCCACACUGGAACUGAGACACGGUCCAGACUCCUACGGGAGGCAGCAGUAGGGAAUCUUCCGCAAAGGGCGAAAGCCUGACGGAGCAACGCCGCGUGAGUGAUGAAGGUCUUCGGAUCGUAAAACUCUGUUAUUAGGGAAGAACAUAUGUGUAAGUAACUGUGCACAUCUUGACGGUACCUAAUCAGAAAGCCACGGCUAACUACGUG
This 497-nucleotide ribosomal RNA is filed under the name uncultured bacterium. RNAcentral describes it as "partial 16S ribosomal RNA". It matches the Rfam family "Bacterial small subunit ribosomal RNA", at positions 28 to 507 of the family's 1533-position model. The record is from RNAcentral.